Molecule: transfer-messenger RNA, 216 nt
Filed under: Fidelibacterota bacterium
Lineage: Bacteria; Pseudomonadati; Fidelibacterota
Description: partial transfer-messenger RNA
Rfam family: transfer-messenger RNA
About the family: Bacterial tmRNA, also known as 10Sa RNA or SsrA, is named for its dual tRNA and mRNA-like properties.
Source: RNAcentral
GAGCUUGAUGCGUCUAUGGUCUUGCUCAGGGGCGUCACCUACAUAGACUAGUUCCAAAACAUGUUUGCGGUUUUGGAAUGAAAUUUAGCAAGCUGGUUCUUCCUGCUUUUUGUCGCUGAUAAAUGGAAGAAUAAGAUUCCAAUCGGACGACUAAGCAUGUAGACGUCUUUCAUCCCUCUAUUUCGGACGGGAGUUCAAUUCUCCCCGCCUCCACAU